RNAcentral lists this ribosomal RNA (508 nucleotides) under uncultured bacterium. Its description in RNAcentral is "partial 16S ribosomal RNA". It matches the Rfam family "Bacterial small subunit ribosomal RNA", at positions 30 to 523 of the family's 1533-position model. The record is from RNAcentral.
AUUGAACGCUGGCGGCAUGCCUUACACAUGCAAGUCGAACGGCAGCGGGGGAGAAGCUUGCUUUUCCUGCCGGCGAGUGGCGAACGGGUGAGUAAUACAUCGGAACGUGCCCUGUAGUGGGGGAUAACUAGUCGAAAGAUUAGCUAAUACCGCAUACGACCUGAGGGUGAAAGUGGGGGACCGUAAGGCCUCAUGCUAUAUGAGCGGCCGAUGUCUGAUUAGCUAGGUGGUGGGGUAAAGGCCUACCAAGGCGACGAUCAGAAGCUGGUCUGAGAGGACGAUCAGCCACACUGGGACUGAGACACGGCCCAGACUCCUACGGGAGGCAGCAGUGGGGAAUUUUGGACAAUGGGCGAAAGCCUGAUCCAGCAAUGCCGCGUGUGUGAAGAAGGCCUUCGGGUUGUAAAGCACUUUUGUCCAGAAAGAAAUGGCUCUGGUUAAUACCUGGGGUCGAUGACGGUACCGGAAGAAUAAGGACCGGCUAACUACGUGCCAGCAGCCGCCGCAG